AGUGAUGUGGCAGCAGCGGCAGGUCGGAUCACGUUGCUGGCCCUGUGCUGGUACCCGUUUGAGACCGGAUUAAGGAGGGAGGCUUUGGAGGUGCCAGCGGUAGUAAACGAGCGGAUUGCAAGUUGCUUCUUCUCGAGGCAACCUCUCCACCCAGCGCCAAGGAGUCCCUCCAGGCCACUGAUCACACAAUCGGUGGAAAAGCAAAAAGCCACGUUCACAUUCCUGCACCGUAACAACGGACGAACCCAGGGAGUCGCAUUUUGGAGCCAAGGAAGCUCAGGCUGCCCCGCACCCCUGCACCCCCACUCCCCCCUCCUCCUGCCGACUGCAUCGCCUUUGGGAAGAUGAAUAGCUUGGCCGAAGUUGUUUUUCCUUUCCGGUGGCCCUGAUCAGGUGUCCCCGCCCCCUCCUGCCGUUCGCCUUCUCUCGCCGCCUUCUCCCG
This 442-nucleotide long non-coding RNA is filed under the name Homo sapiens (human). RNAcentral's name for it is "HSALNT0367285". Lineage: Eukaryota; Metazoa; Chordata; Mammalia; Primates; Hominidae. The record is from RNAcentral.